RNAcentral lists this ribosomal RNA (750 nucleotides) under uncultured bacterium. Its description in RNAcentral is "bacterial SSU rRNA". It matches the Rfam family "Bacterial small subunit ribosomal RNA", at positions 61 to 810 of the family's 1533-position model. The record is from RNAcentral.
GUCGAAUGGUAGAGGGGGCAACCCCUUGAGAGUGGCGAACGGGUGAGUAAUGUAUCGGAACGUGCCCAGUCGUGGGGGAUAACGUAGUGAAAAUUACGCUAAUACCGCAUACGAUCUAUGGAUGAAAGCGGGGGAUCGCAAGACCUCGCGCGAUUGGAGCGGCCGAUAUCAGAUUAGGUAGUUGGUAGGGUAAAGGCCUACCAAGCCAACGAUCUGUAGCUGGUCUGAGAGGACGACCAGCCACACUGGAACUGAGACACGGUCCAGACUCCUACGGGAGGCAGCAGUGGGGAAUUUUGGACAAUGGGCGAAAGCCUGAUCCAGCCAUUCCGCGUGCAGGAUGAAGGCCCUCGGGUUGUAAACUGCUUUUGUACAGAACGAAAAGGUUUCUAUUAAUACUAGGAGCUCAUGACGGUACUGUAAGAAUAAGCACCGGCUAACUACGUGCCAGCAGCCGCGGUAAUACGUAGGGUGCAAGCGUUAAUCGGAAUUACUGGGCGUAAAGCGUGCGCAGGCGGUUAUAUAAGUCAGAUGUGAAAUCCCCGGGCUCAACCUGGGAACUGCAUUUGAGACUGUAUAGCUAGAGUACGGUAGAGGGGGAUGGAAUUCCGCGUGUAGCAGUGAAAUGCGUAGAUAUGCGGAGGAACACCGAUGGCGAAGGCAAUCCCCUGGACCUGUACUGACGCUCAUGCACGAAAGCGUGGGGAGCAAACAGGAUUAGAUACCCUGGUAGUCCACGCCCUAAACGAU